AGAGAGAGACAUGCGCGCAUAUCAAUAAGCGGAGGAAAAGAAACUAACAAGGAUUCCCUUAGUAACGGCGAGUGAAGCGGGAAGAGCUCAAAUUUGAAAUCUUCAAGGUUUUACCUUGACGAAUUGUAGUUUAAAGAAGUGUUUUCUGCUGAAGUUUUGGUAAAAGUUCUUUGGAAUAGGACAUCAUAGAGGGUGAGAAUCCCGUAUUUGACCAUUAUUUUCAGCUUUGUGAUACACUUUCAAAGAGUCGGAUUGUUUGGGAAUGCAGUCCAAAAUGGGUGGUAAAUUUCAUCUAAAGCUAAAUAUUGGCGAGAGACCGAUAGCGAACAAGUACCGUGAGGGAAAGAUGAAAAGAACUUUGAAAAGAGAGUUAAACAGUACGUGAAAUUGUCAAAAGGGAAGCGUUUGACACCAGUGUUGCUAUCUCGAAAAUCAAUUAAAAAUGGCUCGAGUUUUGUAUUGUUGAGACCUUAAAAGCUCACUGUACAUUUUUCGUGUCUUUUUUAAUGCACUUUUCGUUUAACAAGUCAACAUCAGUUUCUUUUGUUGUAAAAGGGUCAUUGGAAGGUGGCUUUCUUUUCGGAGAAAGUGUUUAUAGCCUUUGGCCUCUGCAAUCGGAGAGACUGAGGUCUGCAGCGUAGACUCUUCGGGGUUAGAUACAUUUGUGCUAAGUUAUAGCUUUUUAUAGACAACUUGUUGACUAUAAUUAGUCUUGUAGCUUACUCGCUUAUGCUAUUUUACCUACGCUUAGGAUGUUGAGUCGUAGAGCACGCAG
Molecule: ribosomal RNA, 775 nt
Filed under: uncultured Neocallimastigales
Lineage: Eukaryota; Fungi; Neocallimastigomycota; Neocallimastigomycetes; Neocallimastigales
Description: partial large subunit ribosomal RNA
Rfam family: Eukaryotic large subunit ribosomal RNA
Source: RNAcentral